Molecule: ribosomal RNA, 589 nt
Filed under: uncultured bacterium
Lineage: Bacteria
Description: bacterial SSU rRNA
Rfam family: Bacterial small subunit ribosomal RNA
Source: RNAcentral
CCUACGGGAGGCAGCAGUGGGGAAUCUUGCGCAAUGGGCGAAAGCCUGACGCAGCCAUGCCGCGUGUAUGAUGAAGGUCUUAGGAUUGUAAAAUACUUUCACCGGUGAAGAUAAUGACUGUAGCCGGAGAAGAAGCCCCGGCUAACUUCGUGCCAGCAGCCGCGGUAAUACGAAGGGGGCUAGCGUUGCUCGGAAUUACUGGGCGUAAAGGGAGCGUAGGCGGACAUUUAAGUCAGAGGUGAAAUCCCGGAGCUUAACUUCGGAACUGCCUUUGAUACUGGGUGUCUUGAGUGUGAGAGAGGUAUGUGGAACUCCGAGUGUAGAGGUGAAAUUCGUAGAUAUUCGGAAGAACACCAGUGGCGAAGGCGACAUACUGGCUCAUUACUGACGCUGAGGCUCGAAAGCGUGGGGAGCAAACAGGAUUAGAUACCCUGGUAGUCCACGCCGUAAACGAUGAUUGCUAGUUGUCGGGAAGCUUGCUUCUCGGUGACGCAGCUAACGCAUUAAGCAAUCCGCCUGGGGAGUACGGUCGCAAGNUUAAAACUCAAAUGAAUUGACGGCUGAGACGNGCGAGACGACACGAGGAGAG